AUGCGCCGAAGCACCACCCAGCGCCCGGGGCCGCGCCGCGGCGCCGGCCUCAAGCCCGGAUCCCGCGGACCGGCCGCCGCCAAGCCCGACCACCAUAGCGCCCUCCCGGACGCGCUCCUGCACCGCAUCAUGUCGUCCCUCAAGGCGUGGGAGGCGGUCCGCACCUGCGUGCUCGCGCGCCGGUGGCGUCACCUCUGGGCGUCCGCGCCCUGCGUCGACCUCCGCCUGCGCCACUCCUCCGGCCGCGACGCCGACCCGCCGAAGGAGUUCCGCCACUUCGUGCACCGCCUCUUCCUCCUCCGCGACGCGUCGGCGCCAGUGGGCACGCUCCGCCUGCGGUCCGACGACGAGGACGCGGGCUACUACGAGGAAGACGCCAACGUGUGGAUCAGGGCCACCAUCAACCGCAACGCACAGGUCAUCCAUCUCGCCGGGCAUCGCUCGGAGAUCGCGUCGUUGGACCGCGUGCAGUUCGUCUCCUGCCACCUCAAGGUCCUGAAGCUGUCGUAUGCCAGGCUCAACGACAAUAUGCUCAAGCAGCUCUCUACCAGCUGCAAGUCUUUGGAGGAGCUGGAUCUGAAGGAUUGCCUGGUGACAGGCCCUGGGAUUGUGUCCGACUCUUUGAAGAACUUAAUCCUGCUCAAGUGCAAGAUCAACUGCGCCUUCUCCAUUGCUGCCCCGAACCUCCUACUUCUGCGCCUCACCACGCCUUACGUCCGGGUCCCAUCGUUCAAGAACUUGGGGUCGCUGGUCACAGGCACUAUCAUACUUGAUGACUCUUUCUUGGGUGAUGACUUUGAACACAUCAGUGAUGAAGAUGACCGUGAUGGAACUACUGAUGACGACGGGGAUGGGAGCGAUGAUAAUGAUUGGACAGAGAGCUCUAAGAUUCAUGAUGACUCUUCCUUGGGUGAUGAUUUUGGAUAUGAUCAUUUUAUAAGGUUUGGAUAUGGACAUACUUUUGCUGAAGAAAGUUACACACACGGUCAUUACAAGGAUAAUUUUGAUUAUGGCAGUGAUAUCGAUAGCGAUGACAAUACCUAUGAAUACAGUGAGAUUGCAAAUGAUGCAAAGUAUGGCUGCAAAGGUAAAGGCCAUCUUUCCAGUAAAGAUGGUAACUAUGGUGGAAACGGAGAAUGCAAUGAUAGGAAGAUUUUAGGUGGACGUCAUGUUCUUGAGUCUCUUUCAAGUGCUAGAACUUUGGAGUUGUUGACUGAUGCUGGAGAGGUGGUUCUGAGUAGGGAACUGAAUAUGUGUCCAACUUUUGGCAACCUGAAGACCCUGUCCCUUGGCGAAUGGUGUAUGACUGCAGACUUUGAUGCAUUAAUUUUCUUGCUGCAGCACUCACCUAAUAUACAGAAGCUCUUUCUCCAACUUAAAAUUAACUUCAAUACCAGAAAGGCAUCAGAAACAGGUAUCAAACUACAGGGAAGAUCAUUUACUUGCAAAGACCUUCAAAUGGUGAAGAUUACAUGCUCAAAGGAUGAUGGGAGAGUUCAUAAGUUGGCAAAUUUGUUUAGGGCAAAUGGAAUACCCCUCAAGAAAAUUUAUGUCCGCCGCAGUGGGAGUGCUUAUCUCCGUAGCCAGAAGCAGAUGAAAGAAUUCGCCAGGCGUGAACUGGAGUUUUGGGGGAUGUAA
Molecule: ribosomal RNA, 1638 nt
Filed under: Triticum aestivum (bread wheat)
Lineage: Eukaryota; Viridiplantae; Streptophyta; Magnoliopsida; Poales; Poaceae
Description: partial small subunit ribosomal RNA
Source: RNAcentral